Molecule: ribosomal RNA, 599 nt
Filed under: Ostropa barbara
Lineage: Eukaryota; Fungi; Ascomycota; Lecanoromycetes; Ostropales; Stictidaceae
Description: eukaryotic LSU rRNA
Rfam family: Eukaryotic large subunit ribosomal RNA
Source: RNAcentral
UUGACCUNGGAUCAGGUAGGGAUACCCGNUGAACUUAAGCAUAUCAAUAAGCGGAGGAAAAGAAACCAACCGGGAUUGCCUCAGUAACGGCGAGUGAAGCGGCAACAGCUCAAAUUUGAAAUNUGGCUCCCUUNGGGCGCCCGAGUUGUAAUUUGUAGAGGAUGUUUUGGGUGCGGCNCCGUUNUAAGUUCCUUGGAACCGGGCGUUAUAGAGGGUGAGAAUUCCGUACGUGACCGGUUGCCAACCCCAUGUGAAACUCCUUUGACGAGUCGAGUUGUUUGGGAAUGCAGCUCAAAAUGGGUGGUAAAUUUCAUNUAAAGCUAAAUACCGGCCAGAGACCGAUAGCGCNCAAGUAGAGUGAUNGAAAGAUGAAAAGCCCUUUGGAAAGAGAGUUAAAAAGUACGUGAAAUUGUUGAAAGGGAAGCGCUUGCAACCAGACUCGCCCUGCGGUGAUCCAUUGUCCUUUUGGGCGGUGCCCUNUCCGUAUGGCGGGCCAGCAUCGGUUCGAGCGGCCGGAUAAAGGCCCCGGGAACGUAGCUCUCUUNGGGGAGGGGUAUAGCCCGGGGUGCCCUGCGGCCAGUUUGGACCGAGGACCGCGC